Molecule: ribosomal RNA, 392 nt
Filed under: uncultured bacterium
Lineage: Bacteria
Description: partial 16S ribosomal RNA
Rfam family: Bacterial small subunit ribosomal RNA
Source: RNAcentral
AUACGGAGGAUCCGAGCGUUAUCCGGAUUUAUUGGGUUUAAAGGGUGCGCAGGCGGCCAUUUAAGUCAGCGGUUAAAUCGUGGGGCUCAACCCCAUUCUGCCGUUGAUACUGGGUGGCUUGAUUGCGGUCGAGGUUGGCGGAAUUCGUUGUGUAGCGGUGAAAUGCAUAGAUAUGACGAAGAACACCGAUUGCGUAGGCAGCUGACCAGACCGCAAAUGACGCUCAUGCACGAAAGUGCGGGGAUCGAACAGGAUUAGAUACCCUGGUAGUCCGCACAGUAAACGAUGAAUACUUGUUUUCGGCGAUAUAAUGUCGGAGGCAAAGCGAAAGCGAUAAGUAUUCCACCUGGGGAGUACGCCGGCAGCGGUGAAACUCAAAUGAAUUGACGGGG